UCCUCCAUAGUUCAGUUGGUAGAACGGCGGACUGUUAAUCCGUAUGUCACUGGUUCGAGUCCAGUUGGGGGAGCCA
RNAcentral lists this transfer RNA (76 nucleotides) under Xenorhabdus bovienii. RNAcentral's name for it is "tRNA-Asn". It matches the Rfam family "tRNA". Rfam says of the family: Transfer RNA (tRNA) molecules are approximately 80 nucleotides in length. RNAcentral also lists the same sequence under 1 other name. Lineage: Bacteria; Pseudomonadati; Pseudomonadota; Gammaproteobacteria; Enterobacterales; Morganellaceae. The record is from RNAcentral.